AAGAAAAUGCCUGAUUUAAAAGGAUUAUUUUGAUAGAAUAAAUUAUGUAUUAUUUACUUUUCUUA
This 65-nucleotide transfer RNA is filed under the name Allacma fusca. Its description in RNAcentral is "tRNA-Ile". The record is from RNAcentral. Lineage: Eukaryota; Metazoa; Arthropoda; Collembola; Symphypleona; Sminthuridae.